RNAcentral lists this ribosomal RNA (497 nucleotides) under uncultured bacterium. Its description in RNAcentral is "partial 16S ribosomal RNA". It matches the Rfam family "Bacterial small subunit ribosomal RNA", at positions 28 to 507 of the family's 1533-position model. The record is from RNAcentral.
GAUGAACGCUGGCGGCGUGCCUAAUACAUGCAAGUCGAGCGAACAGACGAGGAGCUUGCUCCUCUGACGUUAGCGGCGGACGGGUGAGUAACACGUGGAUAACCUACCUAUAAGACUGGGAUAACUUCGGGAAACCGGAGCUAAUACCGGAUAAUAUAUUGAACCGCAUGGUUCAAUAGUGAAAGACGGUUUUGCUGUCACUUAUAGAUGGAUCCGCGCCGCAUUAGCUAGUUGGUAAGGUAACGGCUUACCAAGGCAACGAUGAGUAGCUGACCUGAGAGGGUGAUCGGCCACACUGGAACUGAGACACGGUCCAGACUCCUACGGGAGGCAGCAGUAGGGAAUCUUCCGCAAUGGGCGAAAGCCUGACGGAGCAACGCCGCGUGAGUGAUGAAGGUCUUCGGAUCGUAAAACUCUGUUAUUAGGGAAGAACAAAUGUGUAAGUAACUAUGCACGUCUUGACGGUACCUAAUCAGAAAGCCACGGCUAACUACGUG